This 628-nucleotide long non-coding RNA is filed under the name Theobroma cacao (cacao). RNAcentral's name for it is "long non-coding RNA (TCAC_LNC006491)". Lineage: Eukaryota; Viridiplantae; Streptophyta; Magnoliopsida; Malvales; Malvaceae. The record is from RNAcentral.
AAUAGAUCAAACUCACCUUUGCAAAAUUCCAAACCAUUAUCUGUUCGAAAGCGCUUGAUUUUUUUCCCUGUCUGCUUCUCGAUCAAUGCCUUCCAUUGCAAAAAGGUGGUAAACACUUCACUUUUAGCCUUCAGAAAAUACGUCCAUACUUUUCUUGAAAAAUCAUCAAUAAAUGUUAACAUGUAUAAUGAUCCACCUUUUGAUGCCACAGGAGAAGGACCCCAUAAAUCUGAGUGGAUGUAGUCUACUGUACUCUUGGUUCGAUGUGUAGCAAUGCUAAAUUUCACUCGGUGUUGUUUGCCAUAGAUGCAAUGUUCACAGAAAUCUAUCUUCCCAGUCUUUUGACCACACAGUAAACCACGCUUACUCAAUUCUGUCAUUCCUUUCUCACUCAUAUGACCUAAUCUCAUAUGCCAUAAACGUGUAACAUCAUCAUCAGGAUCAUAGGAUGAGACUACAGAAGCAGUUCCAAUAAUCGUACUUCCCACUAGACGAUAAAGGCCACCGGAUAACUUACCUUUCAUGAUAGUUAAGGCUCAUUUAGAUAUCUUCAAGACACCAUCUUGGCCACUAUAUUUGCAACCUUUCUUAUCUAACAAACUCAAGGAUAUCAAAUUCUUUUUCAUGU